RNAcentral lists this ribosomal RNA (370 nucleotides) under uncultured archaeon. RNAcentral describes it as "bacterial SSU rRNA". It matches the Rfam family "Archaeal small subunit ribosomal RNA", at positions 551 to 921 of the family's 1478-position model. The record is from RNAcentral.
CCAUGCGCUUAANGUAUGGGCUGCCGGGAAUACUGCAAAGUUAGGGAGUGGGAGAGGUAGACGGUACUCGGUAGGAAGGGGUAAAAUCCUUUGAUCUAUUAAUGACCACCUGUGGNGAAGGCGGUNUACCAGAACACGUCCGACGGUGAGGGAUGAAAGNUGGGGGGGCAAACCGGAUUAGAUACCCGGGUAGUCCCAGCUGUAAACUAUGCAAANUCAGUGAUGCACUGGCUUGAUGCCAAUGCAGUGNUGCAGGGAAGCCGUUAAGUUUGCCGCCUGGGAAGUACGUACGCAAGUAUGAAACUUAAAGGAAUUGGCGGGGGAGCACCACAAGGGGUGAAGCCUGCGGUUCAAUUGGAUUCAACGCCGG